RNAcentral lists this long non-coding RNA (1940 nucleotides) under Schizosaccharomyces pombe (fission yeast). Lineage: Eukaryota; Fungi; Ascomycota; Schizosaccharomycetes; Schizosaccharomycetales; Schizosaccharomycetaceae. The record is from RNAcentral.
UUUAAAAUAACUAUGCUUCUCAUUUUGUUUGCAUUCUUUUCAUGGCAGCUGCAGCCCUUUUUUCACGUUCAAUUCGCAUUCUCAUUUCUGGACUUAAUGAUUGCAAUUCGUCAACUUUUCGAACAUUAUUAAUUCCUAAUGAAUGACCUUCGCCGUGCAGUUUAUCAUAAUCCCUUUUCGAUUGUUCUUCAAUUUUCUGCAUCGCUUCCUUCCGUCUAAGUUCUUCUUGCCUCUCUUUAUCCCUUCUUUGAUUUUCUAAUUUGGUCUUUGCCUUUUGGCGUUGUUUCUGAAUUUGUUCUCUAGACUGAGGAGCCCCAACUUUAGCUGCUUCCCAGUCGAAAAAUGACUCUCCCAACUCAUGCCUUGCAAUUAGAAACUCAUCUUUAACCUCUUUGUUUCCAGUACUAAUCUCAAAAGGUGUCUUUCCGUUCCCAUUUAGCAUUGCUGGAUCAGCACCAUUACGGAGAAGUUUAGCGACUAAUUUAGCAUUUUUUUGGGUAACUGCGUAAUGCAACGGUGUAGAUGUGUGCAAAUGAACAUUUUUAGGAUAAAAUUGAAAAUUUAUAGACAAAUCAUUAGAGCGCAAAUAUUCCAAAAAUGCUUCAAUAUUAGACGCUUUCAAAUUGGAGAUAAUUACUUCGGUAUAUUUAGCAAGCUUUUUCUUUUUCCUCUCUUCCUCUUGUAAUCUGCUUUGUCUAAUUUCCUUUUCAAUUUCGGCUUGUCUCUUUCGUUCUUCUUCUUGAGCUUUUAUCGAAAUUGAAUCAACGUGACUAAUUUUCGGAGUAACCAACUCUUUGUAACAACGAAGUAAUUCUGAAUGUGUGGCUCGUUUAGUAGUAAAUGGAAAUACGCGGAGUUUUGGAUCUUUUGGAGAAAUAAGAGCACCUGGUUGAGAGAAGAAAAUUGAACGAUUAGAUGAACCGAUUGCACGUACAAAGAUUAAAUCGCAUGUUUCUAAUAAUUUUCCCCAGUCUUUAAAAACUUGCUGAAUAUCUUUAAUAAGAGCUUGUUCGUUAUAACGUCGCAAACCACUACCUGCCGAGUGAAUGUUCCCUUUAGUAUUGUCAGCAGCCCCUUGAGAACCACCUUGCUUCCUUCUAGUUGUAUAUCUGUGAAUAGUUUUCUGUGCUAGUACUUUGGGUACAUGGGGAUCACGAGGAUUAAACUCAUUAGAAGCAAUCAUAGCAGCAAAAUGACCGCCUCCAACCAUAAACAUAGCUAGUUGAAGUGGCUUUUGUCGGUUAUGAUUUUGUUGUUGAACAAGUAAAUCUUUAGUGAUAUGGUUAUUACCGGAAAACAUGUGUUUAUAUACACCAAUAUAGGUUGGCACUUCGGCAGAAGCAUUACUCAAUUGAAACCACGUUAAUGGUGAGUUUGUUCGCUGAUUGUUGUUUUCGUCAGCGGAGUCAACUUUUCCUAUGUUCAAGGAUUGUUUAAAAGCCUUCUCUAUUUGGAAAUUAUCUUCUUCGGAUUCUGAGUUUGUCUCGCUUUCACUGCCAGACAGUGAUUCUGGUAAAUCUUCAAUUAUGCUUUCAAAUUCGUCUUGAGAAACCGGAGGCAAUUUUGUAAUUUUUCGCUUCGUAUUGAACCUAUGCCAGUCAGAUUUAAUAUGACUUUUUCUUUCGUCCAGAGUAUGCAGAUUGUCAAUCUGGCAAUUGACACAUGAUGAUAUAUUUUUCUGAGUGGAAUCAACAAUAUCGCCUUGGUUUGACAAAUUAGCACUAUCAGUUUUUUCCUCAACUGAGUAUUCCUCUCGUAGUUCUAGUUUUGCUAAGAUAUCCUCAGGAAGGGAAAAAAUAUUGUGCUUCGAAAUAUCACCCAUGUUUCGAAGAAGACAAGUAAUUAGCAAGAUCUAAAAAUAAUGUAAGCAUUACAAAAUAUGCAAUAAUUUUCAGUAGAAUUUCAAUCUAGCAAUUAGCGUACUUAUACUCAAAAACGAA